GGAGGGGUGGGUGUGCUUUCUAGUAUAGGAACCCUGCUGAGUGGGUGUUCUGCCUCUCCCCCAGACCCCAUCUCUGUCUCAUUUCUGCUUCCUGACUCUAGCCCAAAGGGACCUAGGAUCUGCGGGCCUAACCCUGUCCAGGAUGCCAGCCCAUGAGAUGGUGCCACCCAUAUCCAGGGUGGUUCCUAUUUAGUUAAACCUUUCUGGAAGUACUCGUGCCAAUGCA
Molecule: long non-coding RNA, 226 nt
Organism: Mastomys coucha (southern multimammate mouse)
Lineage: Eukaryota; Metazoa; Chordata; Mammalia; Rodentia; Muridae
Exons: 2
Source: RefSeq, a predicted model, not a curated record